CUGUCUCCUCUCUCUGAGCCAUGCAUAACUUUAUAAACUUCUAUUUUGUCACCUCUUACACUCGCCGUUUCUCUAAACAAAGAAGUCCCAGUUGCUGAGAAUUACUUCUGAAGUUACCCAUUCAACAGGGUUGUUGUUGGCACCCUCCUGUCUCAGGAGACAAUGGAGGAGUGUGCCUUUGGGGGUGAAGUCAAAUAUUAUAGCGGCAGAGAGGAUAUUUUUAUACAGAAGUCUUUCUACUUCCCUCCCUUCAAAUGGUAACUCUUUCCUUCAAAAAAAUCAAUGUUUUUUCUUUCCAUCCCUUGCUCUGUGUGCCAUAUAUAUAUCUAUUCCUACCAGUCACUUUUCCCUCAGCAGAAGGACUGGAUUGCUCUAAUUGGUUUCUGCUUUGUUCCAAGAUAUACACCUCACUGACCCGGCUUACCCUCGGGAAACAUUUCGUUCUAGCUAACCAGGUGUGUAUGAAACUCGGCCUUCUCAAUCCAUAACUCUGAUGUAUCAAAAUAGCCCAGUGCUUGUUUAAUACAACACAUAGGUGAUCACAGAGCCAGCAAGUCCUAUUCUCACAGGGUCACCAUUUUGUAGUGCCUGUCUUACAGAUGAAUGCCUCAGUUCUGCCAGCUGCAGUGUUGCUGGUCACUUUCCCCCAAGACUGCUGUAAUUGCUCUUUUGUUGUUGUUGUUGUUUAGUCAUUUAGUUGUGUCCGACUCUUUAUGACUCCAUGGACCAGAGCACGCCAGGCUCUCAUAUCUUCCACUGCCUCCCGCAGUUUGGUCAAACUCAUGUUCGUAGCUUCGAGAACACUGUCCAACAAUCUCAUCCUCUGUCAUCCCCUUCUCCUUGUGCCUUCAAUCUUUCCCAACAUCAGGGUCUUUUCCAGGGAGUCUUCUCUUCUCAUGAGGUGGCCAAAGUAUUGGAGCCUCAGCUUCAGGAUCUGUCCUUCCAGUGAGCACCCAGGGCUGAUUUCCUUCAGAAUGGAUAGGUUUGAUCUUCUUGCAGUCCAUGGGACUCUCAAGAGUCUCUUCCAGCACCAUAAGUCAAAAGCAUCAAUUCUUUGGCGAUCAGCCUUCUUUUGCUCUUUUAGCUCUUUUAAUUGUUAUACUUUUUAAUAGGCUUGUUUUAUUGUAUAUUUUAAUCCUGUGUGCUUUUAAUGUUGGAAUGAUGGAAUUGCAUUAGUGUGUCUUUUGAUUACACAUGGAUAUUUUAGAACUGAUUUGAUAUUUGUAAACAGCUUAGAAGACAUUUUGGCACGCAAGCAGUGUAUAAAUGUUGGAAUAUUCUAGAAGAAACUUGAAAAUGGUCCUGAAGAAGUUGCUAGGCAACAGAAAAUUUCCCCAGCAACAGGUGCCUUUAUUAGGGCAUGUGAUCAACUAAGUCUGGGUCAGUGUAAAUGAGCAUGGGAAGGAGUCAGCAUUAGGUCUCUGGCUGGAUGGCUAAAAGUGAAAAAGAUUAUGUUGUGUUCUUUGUUUUUGACCAGUGUAAAGUUUUGUAAAUAAUAAAAUACACUGAAAAACAGAACCAAAGAGUGUUUAUUACUGUAAUGGGGAUUUCACUAAGAGCUGGGGUGCUGCUGCUGUAAAGAAGUAAAAGAUGCAGGAAAACUCUGUAAAAGGAACUCUGCUGCAGAAAUGAAAACCCAAGAGUAGAUGCUCACACACCAACAUAAAAUAAUUAAGUAAUAUUAUUGCUUGUAAAAAAAUUGUACCUGUCGCCCCACCAAUUGUUCCUACGCUUGGUCGGCAUCCUGGGUUCAUACAUCUUGGUUGGUUUUCUGCUUGUUGUUUUGUGCAGGUAGGUGACCCCUAGGUGUGGCUUGCAUUUGGUAUGUUGACCCAUUUUUCAACACAAGCUUUAUCAAUACAUGUUUGGUCCUUCAAAUUGUUCAUUUUGUUUUGAAAUAUAUCUGGGAUGCCUUUCUGGACCUUACCCAUCCUAGAUGGCUUGCAGCUACCAACAACACAAAAAGAGGACAUCAACAAUAUAAAAGGUAAAACUUUUUUUACAUAAAAAUAAUAACCAAUAAGACAUACUCACCCAACCAAUAAAGUACUUUUCUCUCACACAGCAAUAGUAAUCAUAACAGUAAUCUGGCCAAUAAAAAUAACAAUUAUGAAAAAUCACAAGAAACCAGCUGGAAAAUAAGUGCCUUUAAAACCUCCCUAGAUCCCUGAAGAAAGACAGUUUGCCACAGGUCCAGUGGUAGAGAGAGCCAAAGCUUUGGGUAAUUCCAGGGCAACUGACCAGCCCUUUUCAUUUGAAAUCAGUUGUUGGAAUAGAAACAUGGUGCAAUCUUCCAUUCAGCUCAUAAAGUCAUGAUUUCUCCUUUGUGGUCAGCUGAGCUCAAUUCCUUCUGAAGAUUCAGUGGGUGGGAGAAGUGCACCAAAAAUGGUUUCAAAAAAGGCCAAGCUUCACUUCUUCUUUUGUUGGAUUUUUAUUUUUGUGCAGAUCUCUUUUCCUUAUCUGCAGAAUCUGCCGAUCUGUUUGCUUCACUUCUGCAUGAAAAUCCUUCUUGAAAUAGUAUUUAAACAGGCAU
Non-coding RNA from Podarcis lilfordi (Lilford's wall lizard), 2533 nucleotides. NCBI's taxonomy places the organism in Eukaryota, Metazoa, Chordata, Lepidosauria, Squamata, Lacertidae. The record is from the annotation of a GenBank genome assembly.